RNAcentral lists this non-coding RNA (71 nucleotides) under Escherichia coli. RNAcentral's name for it is "Nucleoid-associated noncoding RNA 4 (CssrE)". It matches the Rfam family "Nucleoid-associated noncoding RNA 4 (CssrE)". Rfam says of the family: In E. coli small RNA transcribed from repeated extragenic palindromic element (REP325) called nucleoid-associated ncRNA 4 (nRNA4) collaborates HU protein in condensing the DNA. Lineage: Bacteria; Pseudomonadati; Pseudomonadota; Gammaproteobacteria; Enterobacterales; Enterobacteriaceae. The record is from RNAcentral.
GGCCGGAUAAGGCGUUUACGCCGCAUCCGGCAAUCAAUGCCUGAUGCGACACUGUCGCGUCUUAUCAGGCC